RNAcentral lists this transfer RNA (33 nucleotides) under Orthomitrium tuberculatum. RNAcentral describes it as "partial tRNA-Ser". Lineage: Eukaryota; Viridiplantae; Streptophyta; Bryopsida; Orthotrichales; Orthotrichaceae. The record is from RNAcentral.
UGUAACUUAGGAAAGAGAGGGAUUCGAACCCCU